This 615-nucleotide long non-coding RNA is filed under the name Medicago truncatula (barrel medic). Its description in RNAcentral is "long non-coding RNA (MTRU_LNC004745)". The record is from RNAcentral. Lineage: Eukaryota; Viridiplantae; Streptophyta; Magnoliopsida; Fabales; Fabaceae.
AACGAGCAUCACAACUUCUUCCUCCCUCACAACCACCCCCUCCGUCAUCUUCUUUGCCAACUUCGACGGCAAAACCACCACAAACUCCACCUUUUCUUCCACAUCACGACGUCGACCCACUCUUCUCCCUCACACCGGCGACCACAUCAGCCACGCUACCGACGACCUCCCUUCGUCCUCCUCCUUUCGUUUUGUUCAGAUCUGACUGUCUCUUUCGUAUUCGUUCUUGUCGCCGUCGCCAUCUCUUGUUUUUCAAAAUCUAUGUCUCUGUUGUUCGAAAUCUGUAUAAAAGGUUGUUGCUGAUUGUAUUUUGGAGAAGAGUAGAACAUAAACGUAGGAGAGAACAGGUGAUGACGGCGACGACGAGACGUUGGUGGUGAGUAUUAAGAGCGACAAUGAUGAUGAUGUGAUUUGAAGUUCCAGACGGCGGAAAACGUUGGUGGGGGGCCAUCGGUGGUGGCCAGUGGGGGAGAAGAAGACUGAGAAGAGAGUGAGAAAGUUGCAGAGUUGAUUGGACAAAAUUGCCCCUCUUUUCUUUUUAAAUAGACAAAAUUGCCCUCAUUGAAAUUAAUAAAAAAAUGCCACACAAGGGAUGUAGAUGGGGGUUUUUCACAU